RNAcentral lists this ribosomal RNA (505 nucleotides) under Salmonella enterica subsp. enterica serovar Infantis. Its description in RNAcentral is "partial 23S ribosomal RNA". It matches the Rfam family "Bacterial large subunit ribosomal RNA", at positions 711 to 1214 of the family's 2925-position model. RNAcentral also lists the same sequence under 3 other names. Lineage: Bacteria; Pseudomonadati; Pseudomonadota; Gammaproteobacteria; Enterobacterales; Enterobacteriaceae. The record is from RNAcentral.
AGACCCGAAACCCGGUGAUCUAGCCAUGGGCAGGUUGAAGGUUGGGUAACACUAACUGGAGGACCGAACCGACUAAUGUUGAAAAAUUAGCGGAUGACCUGUGGCUGGGGGUGAAAGGCCAAUCAAACCGGGAGAUAGCUGGUUCUCCCCGAAAGCUAUUUAGGUAGCGCCUCGUGAAUUCAUCUCCGGGGGUAGAGCACUGUUUCGGCUAGGGGGCCAUCCCGGCUUACCAACCCGAUGCAAACUGCGAAUACCGGAGAAUGUUAUCACGGGAGACACACGGCGGGUGCUAACGUCCGUCGUGAAGAGGGAAACAACCCAGACCGCCAGCUAAGGUCCCAAAGUCAUGGUUAAGUGGGAAACGAUGUGGGAAGGCCCAGACAGCCAGGAUGUUGGCUUAGAAGCAGCCAUCAUUUAAAGAAAGCGUAAUAGCUCACUGGUCGAGUCGGCCUGCGCGGAAGAUGUAACGGGGCUAAACCAUGCACCGAAGCUGCGGCAGCGAACG